UACGUAGGUGGCAAGCGUUGUCCGGAAUUACUGGGUGUAAAGGGAGCGCAGGCGGGAAGCCAAGUCAGCUGUGAAAACUACGGGCUUAACUUGUAGACUGCAGUUGAAACUGGUUUUCUUGAGUGAAGUAGAGGUUGGCGGAAUUCCGAGUGUAGCGGUGAAAUGCGUAGAUAUUCGGAGGAACACCGGUGGCGAAGGCGGCCAACUGGGCUUUAACUGACGCUGAGGCUCGAAAGUGUGGGAGCAAACAGG
Molecule: ribosomal RNA, 252 nt
Filed under: uncultured bacterium
Lineage: Bacteria
Description: partial 16S ribosomal RNA
Rfam family: Bacterial small subunit ribosomal RNA
Source: RNAcentral